Equus quagga is the source of this 1005-nucleotide long non-coding RNA. RefSeq lists it as uncharacterized. NCBI's taxonomy places the organism in Eukaryota, Metazoa, Chordata, Mammalia, Perissodactyla, Equidae. The record is from RefSeq and is a predicted model, not a curated record. The transcript has 4 exons.
CCACAGCCCUCCUCCUCCUUCCCUUCGCCUUCGCGGGUGUGGGCGCCUCGAGGCACUGGCGAGCCUCUCCAGGACUGAUGAUGUUCAGAUGGUCAACUCUCCAUCAGCCUGAGUCCCAGAGUCAGUACCAGAUGGCGCAGAGCCCCUAAUGACCUGAGAUGGGCGUGUAACACAAGUGGGAAAUCAACCUUUACUCUUCUAAGCCACUGAGAGGAGGAAGGGCUGUCUGUGAGCUGACGCAACGACAGAGGAGCAUCAGAGUGCAGGAUCCCGAGUCACGCGUGGCACCUGGUCUACUUCUCGGGAAGGUUUCACACGCUGGAAACCAGCCAUCUCAUCUUUAACAAGUGGAACUUAUCAAAGAAGAAAGGGUGGAAGAGGAGCUCCCAGGCCUGGCUUAUGAGUGUGGCCUUGAACACGUCCACAGACGUGUUGUUGUCCUGUUGAGUCUGCAGCCAGGAAGGCGGAACUCACUGCAGAGGGCAGGUGUGAACGUGCCGCUUCAGAGCCAGUGCUCUUUGAAGACGGAAAGUCAAGGACCCCAGUCCCUUCCAGGAAACAAGGACAUAAUUAUCACAACACCCCACUGGCCAGUGACCUUCAUUCCUCAGGCCCGCCCUACUCCCUCUGCUGGCACCAGCCCAGGUCCCCACAGCCUGAGCCCUGUGUCCAGACUGCUCAGAUCCAGAAGCAGCCCCCUUGCACACCCUUUGAAAGGGUUCUUAAUCUCUUUCUACUACGCUGCUCUCGCAACAUAAAUCCGCCAGCCUAGGGGCCUCUGAACCCCCGCGAAGGGAGGCCCAUCCAGGCCAGGAGAAGUCUGAGCCGCGGAGGCGUGGAAUUUAUGCUUCCUCUCACCUGCGCGUCUGUCUGUGGCCCCGACUCCAGUCUGUCGUUGGAGGUUUGAACAUAACCUCCCAGCUCCUUGCCAAGUCUGCCAUCAUCACCUCAGCCACAGAAGCUGACUCCUCAAGGCCACUGGAAUCCAGUAACAGGGACUCUCCA